This 1374-nucleotide long non-coding RNA is filed under the name Homo sapiens (human). RNAcentral describes it as "HSALNT0323814". The record is from RNAcentral. Lineage: Eukaryota; Metazoa; Chordata; Mammalia; Primates; Hominidae.
AAGCCAGAAAGCAGAGGGGAGGAAGCUCCACCGUCAUGAGAAUGGGAAGCAGAGGCAGCGGCAGCGUGCACAGACAUCCUUUGAAGGUUUGUUAUAAACACAGAAACUGAUGUCUGGGAAAAGUUUUAACAGGCACACCUUUAACAUUCAUUUUCGACCCACUGAAGAGGAGAUGAGCUUAUUGGCUGGUGCACCUUGACAGCAUGUAGGUGGAAAACAGGACAUUCAGUCUUUGGUGCAGAGUGGGAGAUACUUAUGAACCAUUUUAGCACAUUUCAGGACCAUGUAACAAAAUCAACACUGCAUUGAAGUGGCAUCAGGAAGAUCCAUCCACAGAAGCAAUGUCUGCUAUGCAGGAAGCAGCUUCAUCAAGGUGGAAGCAGGUCUGUGCUUCCAGGCUGGCCAGUAUCGUUCAUGAAAACAGCACAUUGUGGCUGACUAUGGUUUGAAGAAACAAAGGAAGCCAAAGAAAACAAAAAAUGCUAACGGAGAAUUUAAUCCAUCUCUCAGAGGUGGAAGAAGUUUCAUUUGAAUUGCUCCCUGUUCUUUUACUCUUCUUUCCCCCGAAAGGGAGUGUGGUAGAUUGAGUUUAGAAGACAGCCCUGAACAUGUAUGGUUCAGCCCUUUUGCUCCAUUUUGUCUUGGAGAAGGGCUGGAUUCUGUGCUAUUCUCCUGUGCUUUAAGUUUUGUAGCUACGGGAUUUAUCUAACACAGCCUGACUGGUUUGGAAAGUCUGUCUUAUUUUGAUGUUUUCUGUUACCUAGCCCGCUAACAUUUUUUUCAAGAAAUAUAGCUAGUAUUGUCUCCCUCUCUCUGACUCCUAUUUCUAUUUCUUUGUUGGUUCUAAGCAUGGGUGGUCAAGAGAUGUAUUGAUUUAUCACGUUCCUUCAAACCCUUACACAGUUGUACUGAAAAAGGAUAGGAGUUUUCAUUGGGAUGGAAGUCCUGUGUGUAGUUACGCAGAUUGCCCUCAUUCAGACGCUGCUGGGAAAACCAUAGAUUUUUGUUCCUCUAACAAUGUUGUUGUCAUCUCUGUACAGGAAGAAACUUAGGAUGCUUUAUGUGAUGAUAUUGAAAUUUUUACAAUAGAGACAUGCAAAUAUGGGCAAAACAGUUGCUCAAAAACUGAACACCAAUGGAAAUGUCAUCUCAAACUUUCUGGAAUUUUGAAUUUCAGUGAGCUAUUAGAGAAAGGGAGAGGGAGAGCAAAAUACACAGUAAGAAACAUUUGCAACAAACUGGGAUCUGCUUUUUCCUAAGUUAUGUGCUGUCUGCUUAGUAAUUUCCAUAAGCAUCACAUCAGUCCGUGAUUAAAUACAUUUCAAAUCUCAGAAGCCAUACGAUUUUUUUUAAAGUCAUACAGCUACUGAGGGG